CCUACGGGAGGCAGCAGUGAGGAAUAUUGGUCAAUGGGCGAGAGCCUGAACCAGCCAAGUCGCGUGACGGAUGACGGCCCUACGGGUUGUAACCUUCUUUUGUCAGGGAGCAAUUUUGUCCACGCGUUGGCUUAGCGAUAGUACCUGCAGACAACGCAUCGACUAACUCCGUGCCCGCAGCCGCGGUCAUACGGAGGAUGCGAGCUUUAUCCGAAUUGAUUUGGUUUAAAGGGUGCGUGGGCGGAAUAUCUAGUCAGCGGUAAAAAUUCGGGGCUAAACCCCGUCGUGCCGUUGAAACUGAUGUUCUUGAGUGGGAGAGAAGUAUGCGGAAUGCGUGGUGUAGCGGUGAAAUGCAUAGAUAUCACGCAGAACUCCGAGUGCGAAGGCAGCAUACCGGCGCCCAACUGACGCUGAAGCACAAAAGCGUGGGUAUCGAACAGGAUUAGAUACCCUUGUAGUC
This 460-nucleotide ribosomal RNA is filed under the name uncultured bacterium. Its description in RNAcentral is "partial 16S ribosomal RNA". It matches the Rfam family "Bacterial small subunit ribosomal RNA", at positions 338 to 795 of the family's 1533-position model. The record is from RNAcentral.